CAUCCCCUGAUGACUCGCGGGAUGAAAGCACCUGAGAGUUCUUACAGAGUAACACCGAAGCCAGGAGCAGAGCGCAACUCAGGGAAGCAGGUGUGGGUGGGCUGGGGAAGGCACGGGAAGCUCGCCUGGGCACACAGAUGGGGCACCCAGGUAGAAAGAGCAUCCUAGGCAGGGGUGAAGACACGUGAAUCGGUCCCUUGCACACAGUAGGACUGGACCCAGCCUCCAGGCAGGGGUGGCGGGAAGGGAGGCUGUGAAGGGUGUGGACCCUGAGAGUGAGUGUAGCUGCUGAAGGGGUUGAGGGGCCUGCAGCAGCGAAUGCAUGCUGCUGAUGGUGGGGUCGCGGGAGAUGGACUGGCUGAACUGGAGACAGAGUCAGAACCCGCCGGCGGGCGCAGUUCCCAGUGAGGGGGAGGACCCGGCACAGUGAUGGUGCAGAGACCAGGACGGGUGGGCCCAGGGCAGGGCAGCCUCGGGAGUCCACUGCGCAGUGGGACAUGGCGAUGGGCCUGGGGCCGGAGUCCGGAGACCCAAAGGUUCUGAGUGAGGCGUAGGGAGGUGGACACUGUUCCUUAGGAGAAAGGACACCGAUGGACUGCUCGCCUUGUUGGGCCUGAUGGCUUGGGGCGUUCAGGAGGGAGGUGUGGGCCCAAGAGGCAGGUUUUAGGGUCAGCAAGCACACAUGCCGCAGUUAAAGCUAAGGUGUAGAUGUCGCUCAAGGAGAGCGCGUAGAAGGCAGAGGGGAGAGGGUCAAAGGACAGGCAGAGGAGGAGACGGUGUGAUCUGAGAGGCAGGGAGAAAGCGGGACCAGGAGGCGAGGGUGCUUCAAACGCAGGAGAGCUUAGAUAACGUUUCAUCAGCCAAGUGCUCAUGGCUUGGAAGUGGGGCAGAGGCCAGGGAUGCUAAGACUCCAUAAUAUACAGGAUAGCUGCCCGGCCCCAAGCAAGACUUACAAGCCUAAAAUGUCAAUGAACUGAAAUUGAGCAACUGGUUUCAAUUCCGGAUUGUGAAUCUCAGGUGGCCUGGGGGCUGCCUCUCCCCGUCCUGGGCUCUUAGAGGAUCAGUCGCCCCUGCCCUCACCCCUCCCCUCCUCACGCCCGCUCCAGGACCUUGCUCCCUGUUUGCCCGAGAAAAGGAAGAAUCAGAGGAGACCUCUCAGCCCUCAGACCACAGUGUCCACCAGUCCCCAACAUUCACCCAUCGCCGCCGGCUUCUCCCCUCCUGGUGCUGCAGGCCCCUCCCUCACCCUAGAUGUUGCCCCUUUUACUUUCUUAACCCCAAGGGCAUACACUUCUCUUCUAUUAACUGCUUUAACUUCUUCCAUUUUAGAGAAGGGCUUCCCUGGUGGCUCGGUUGGUAAAGAAUCUGCCUGCAACGCAUGAGACCCAGGACUCCCUAGGGUUCCCGUGGUCGCCUGGGCCCCCAUCAGCAGGAGCCGUGGUUGGUCUCAGGGCUCAGCUGUCUCUGCUCUGGGAAAGCAUGCCAGGCCUGCCCUCACCUGGCACUUUGAGACCCUCCCUCCUGGCCUCCCGGCCACCCUGAGCCUGCCCCUCCUCAGGUCCUCCCCGGCUGAGUGCAGAGGCAGAGUCGGGCGUGCCCUCACGCCCCUCGCUGUGACCUCACUUGGCUCUCGGUGGUAAGACGGCAUGGGAGCGCUGACCGGCCCUGAGGUCCAGCCCGGAGGGUCCGGCCACUCCACAGCCUGUCCACCAGCAACCCCGACUCCCAGUGUCCCAGCAACCUCCUCCUGCCCCAGACGGCAACGUCUGCCUUCCGGUCAGUUCUUCAAGCCUUGAUUCCUCCCUUUUCUCGCUUCCUGUUCUAUCCGGAAGCAUGUCCUUCCUGUGGGCGGGCUGUCUAAAUCCCAUCCUGAAUCUGACCCCGUCACCACCUCCGUGGCCCGACCUGCCCGCUUGUCGCCAGUAACUGCUCCUCCCCCGCCCCGUGGUUCCGGCAGUCCCCCAGACCCUCUGCACUUCCUUCUCCCUCGGAGGGAAAGCUGGGGCCCCCCGCCUUGGGUCACCCCGAUUGCUCUGUGGUCUGCCCCCAGCCUCCUCACUGCCCUGGGCAUUGAAUGGACGCUGCUCCCCCUGAAGUCCGCCUGACCCGCCAUAGCCAGGCAGUCAGCCGCACCUCCAUUUAGAAGUCAAGCCUCCUCUGAUCUCCUAGUUAGAUCGCAGCAGGUUCCCCAGCCCCGCCAGCUUGCUCACUCGCUCUCUGCUCCGUGAGGACCCGUCACCCAGCUGAGCAGUCAGCUCUGGUUGCUGACGUCUGUCUCUGUGACGACUUGAGCGCCACGAGGGCAGCACCCGUCCCUUCCGCCCCCUGCCCGCCGCACAGCAGACGCGCAGGACGUGAUCUGUCCCCCACGUGAAUUCCCACCUCAAACUUCCUAAAGAAAUUAAUGGCCGCUAGCUGUCACCUUUGAUCCCCGAUUGGUGACCUCUGACCUUUAGCUCUGAUCAGCAGGUAGAAGGUUGGCCUCUCUGCUCCUGACCGAUUUUCGUUUUUGUUCUGGGCUGGACGGGAUGAGUGUGUGAGUCAGUUCAUCACAGACCUUUCUCCCUGAGGACCUACAGGGCCUGGGGUUUGCGAGGAAAGGGUGUGAAAAGUCAGAGGGUGGAAGGUGUGGCUCCCGCUCCUGUCCAUCACCGGGGCCUGUCCUGAAGAUGAAAUAGAUUCUCCCCAAGAGCAGCCAGCACAGGGAGCAGCGCACCCACUGGUCUGUUUGUGAAGGGACGCCCGCCACGGCAACUUCAUGAUGGCAAAGCUCAGCCUGCAUUUCAGGUCUGACACAGAAUGGGCUUCCCACCCCAGAGCGGACCCAGGAAUUGAAGUAACACAUUGAAACUGCAUUGCUGGUGCUGUUCAGUUGCUCAGGCGUGUCCGACUCUUUGCGACCCCAUGGACUGCAGCACGC
Molecule: long non-coding RNA, 2920 nt
Organism: Odocoileus virginianus texanus
Lineage: Eukaryota; Metazoa; Chordata; Mammalia; Artiodactyla; Cervidae
Source: RefSeq, a predicted model, not a curated record